AAGGCGACGAUCGGUAACUGGUCUGAGAGGAUGAUCAGUCACACUGGAACUGAAACACGGUCCAGACUCCUACGGGAGGCAGCAGUGGGGAAUAUUGGACAAUGGGGGCAACCCUGAUCCCACCAUGCCGCGUGUGUGAAGAAGGCCUUCGGGUUGUAAAGCACUUUAAGCAGGGAGGAAGGCCUGGUGGCUAAUAUCCACUGGGAUUGACGUUACCUGCAAAAUAAGCACCGGCAAACUUCGUGCCAGCAGCCGCGGUAAUACGAAGGGUGCAAGCGUUAAUCGGAAUUACUGGGCGUAAAGCGCGCGUAGGUGGUUUGGUAAGCGACAUGUGAAAUCCCCGGGCUUCAACCUGGGGAACUGCAUGUCGAACUGCCAGGGCUAGAGUAUAGUAGAGGAGUGUGGAAUUCCCGGUGUAGCGGUGAAAUGCGUAGAUAUCGGGAGGAACAUCAGUGGCGAAGGCGGCACUCUGGACUGAUACUGACACUGAAGCGCGAAAGCGUGGGUAGCGAACAAGACUAGAUACCCUGGUAGUCCACGCCGUAAACGAUGUCUGCUAGCCGUUGGGGGCGCUUGACGCCUCAGUGGCGGAGCUAACGCGAUAAAGCAGACCGCCUGGGGAGUACGGCCGCAAGGUAAAACUCAAAUGAAAUGACGGGGCCGCACAGCGGUGGAGUAUGUGGGUUAAUCGACGCAACGCGAAAACUAACUGGUCUGGACAUCACGAAUCUGCAGAGAUGCGGAGUGCUCGGAGCGUGAGACUGUGCUGCAUGCCUGCGUCAGCUCGGUCCUUGAAUGUGUUA
RNAcentral lists this ribosomal RNA (803 nucleotides) under uncultured bacterium. RNAcentral's name for it is "bacterial SSU rRNA". It matches the Rfam family "Bacterial small subunit ribosomal RNA", at positions 270 to 1077 of the family's 1533-position model. The record is from RNAcentral.